Trifolium pratense (red clover) is the source of this 743-nucleotide long non-coding RNA. RefSeq lists it as uncharacterized. The record is from RefSeq and is a predicted model, not a curated record. The transcript has 3 exons. Lineage: Eukaryota; Viridiplantae; Streptophyta; Magnoliopsida; Fabales; Fabaceae.
UUUGCCACGGUAUGUCAUUGGCUCAUACUUUUAUUCAAGUUUGAAAUAGGUUAAUGAUACUGAAUUUGCCACUUAAUUGUACCUACUGAUUUUUUUGUCUUAUUUUUGGAUCUUAAAAAUAUUGUUAACUUCCAUACAUUAUACUUUUGUGCUUAACUUAUUUGAGUUAGUUUUAAUCAUGAUUUUGAUUUGUUUUAAUGGUUGCACCUACAGCUGCAACUAGAGUUAAAGCUUGUUUAAGAUACUUGUUGAUGUAGGAAACUAAGAAGUUAUUAAUGUGAUUGGAAUAAGAAGGUUAACCAUCUAAGUUGUUGUCAAAUUUUAUUGAAGAGUGCUUUUAUGUAAGUCUAUUUCCACUAGACACUACUUUGAAUUUGGGGCACUUGUAUAUGAAGAACUUUCCUACAAGCUUAAGGGUAAAUACAAGGUUCCAAAGCUCUUUCAUUUGGCUUAUGGUUGAUUUUGAUAAUAUUCAAGUUUAUCGCAAUGAGAAAGUCGGGACUUUCAUAAUGUAUAUAUAAAAACUGGCAGGAGAUAUGUUAAAUGUACUAGUUACAAGGUAUUUGUUCUUCUUAUAGAGAACUAGUUGGUGUACAUUAGUUACACUAAAUCUUGCUUACCAUAUACUGUAAUGUUAUUAAGCUUUUUAUUCAUGAUGGUUAUGUGUACGUUGUAUUAAAGUAUGGCUGCAACUUACUUUUGAGAUUGAACAAGUUUGAACAUAGUCAAUUGACAUCAAUUUU